UUGUUUGAACGAAUUUUUAGCGCUAUUUCGAUGCCCACAUUCAACGAACAACGCAAAAACAGUUGUUUUUCGCAAUCAAUGUUCAACGGCACAAUUUCAUUGUUCAAUUCAAAAUAAUAUCGAUCGGAAGUUUCGAUUUACGUUAUUAAAAAAGAUGUUCCAAUAAAACAUCAGCACCGCGAAUAAACACUGAAUGUAAGUAAUUUUGGACACUUUGUAUGUGAUUUGAGCUUCAGAACAAGAUGGCCGAAAACAAUCCAUCGAGUAAUAAUGCGCCGACCAACAAUCAAAAGAAAUCAAACAACAGUUUCUUUCGUUUGCGAAAUCGUCAAAAUAAACGUGACACUGGGCCACGUCAAAACACGAUAUCAAUUCCUAUACCACUGAAUUCGCCAUCAUCUGGUUAUGGAUCGAAUUCUUCUUCAAUUGAACAAAAUUCAUUUCAAAUUGGCGGAAAGAAAUCGCCGUACACUGGCUGGAAACUGUAUUUCCCUGAAGUCGAAUACAAAGAUGAUUUACCGAUAGUGCGGAAGAUAAAGGCAUUUGAGCAGCAUAUCAAAAAGCGGCCAUACUUUUACAAGCUCAAUGAUAUUCGACAGAAUAUGUGGUUUAUAAUGUCCGUACAAUCGCUUCAAAACGAUGAGGAAUUUUGUCAGGCUGUACCGAACUUUCAAUCGGAUUUAAAUUUUUCGUCGAUGGAAAUAUUGAUGUGUGCGGGAUUGGCAGCUCAUCAACUCAUUCAAACCGAACUACCGCCAAUUCCGAGCCAAGAGUCAGAGAAAAAUGAAACUAGUAUGAGACUAUCGAUGUUAACGAUUCGUGCGCGCAUCAAAGACCAUUCGCCAAUUGUUAAUUUGAGUGCAUUAAAGCAAGACAUUUACAAUUGCUUAUUUUCGGUGCGAGGAACUGUUGUUCGGGUAAAUCCUCCCAGUUUGAAAUGUUCAUGGGUCGCCUUUCGAUGUGCGCAAUGUAAAACGGAACAAGCGGUUCGGCAAUUGAAUUUGGGUCGAACCAACAUGCCGAUAUCAUGCAAAGGUGGCAGCUGUCGUAAUCGCAGCAAUUUUCAUAUGUUGCAAACGUCGCCAUUCACACGAACGGAACCAUAUCAAACGAUACGUCUGCAAGAAUCGGUACUAUCGGGAAAGGGUCAAAUACCAAAAACAAUUGAGAUUGAUUUGGAUUACGAUUUGGUCGAUUCGGUAUCACCGGGUGAUGAUAUCACAGUGACGGGCAUUAUGCGGGUGCGCACCCAAGCUAAUAAACAGGGCAGCGAAGCUGGACUUCAUACAUAUUAUAUUCAUGCUGUGUCGAUUAUGAGCAACAAAAAUAUAGUUGCACUUCGAAAACUAGAAUUUAAAGAACAUGAUGUUGAUGUGAUUAAGAUGGUGGCCAGAGAGCCAAAUAUAUUUAAAAUUCUAGUUCAUUCGCUUUGUCCUCGAAUCUUUGGCCAUGAGAUGGUUAAAGCGGGCCUGCUCUUGUCACUAUUUGGAGCAUCCGGAAAUGGUUCAAAUUCAGAUCAAACGCCGGGUUUUGGUAAACGAUCUGAAAUUCAUGUUCUUGUUGUCGGCGAUCCUGGAUUGGGAAAAUCAAUUCUUAUACAGGCCUGUUCAAAUAUAUCACCGCGUGGAAUUUUCGUUUGCGGCCAUAGUACAACAAAUGCAGGCUUAACCGUAUCUGUUCGACACGAUAAAGGUUCCGAUGGAAGUCUUGAAGCCGGUGCUCUUGUAUUGGCCGAUCAAGGCGUUUGUUGUUUGGACGAAUUUGAUAAAAUGUCAUCAAAUUAUCAGUCUUUGUUACAAGUUAUGGAACAACAAUCAGUAAGUGUGGCCAAAGCUGGUGUGUUGUGUUCACUGCCAGCCCGAACAUCAAUUAUUGCUGCAGCCAACCCGUCAGGCGGUCACUACGACAAAUCGAAAACGGUGUCAGAGAACUUAAAAAUUUGGCCAACACUAUUGUCUCGUUUCGAUUUGGUGUUUAUACUAUUAGACAAGGCUGAUGCCCAUCUUGACAAUUUACUCACAAAUCAUAUUCAAGCAUUGAAAGCAAAUCAAUACAAUAAACCUGUGGAACGUACGCGAUCCGGUUUCUCUGAACAACCAACCCAAUUUUCAAUGACCAACACUCACUUGACACCGGAUCUCAGCGAUGCUCCACUUCACGAACGAAUGAAAAUGAAUGAAACGACUGAUUUUCAACCGUUGCGAAUGGACAUUAUGCGAAAGUACAUUUUAUAUGCACGUAAAUUUUGUUUUCCAACAAUAAGUGCCGAAGCCAGUGAAGAGCUACGAAAAUUCUACAUUGAAAUGCGAACAACGCGACAAGGGAUCGAUUCAGUGCCGGUAACAACGCGACAACUCGAGGCAUUAAUUCGUUUGACGCAAGCACGGGCCCGACUUGAAUUGGCCGCCGAAGCAACUAUUCAUCAUGCCAGAGAUGUGUUGGCCAUUCUUCGAUACACAAUGGUUGAUGUUCUUAGUAAUGAUCAAAAUACAUUGGAAAUGAAACGAAGCAUCAAUGGUUCGGGCCUUAGUCAUACCACCAAAGUAAAACGAUUCUUACAAUUGAUACAGGGACAAUGCAAAAAUAUGUUUACCGUUACGGAAUUAAAGGAAUUGGCAGCCUCGCUCGGAUUCGAAAUUUUCUUCAAUCAGAUGCUUGAUACACUUAAUGUUCAGGGAUUUUUAAUCAAACGCAGUAAUAAUGUUUACAAAUUCACCACAUGAUCUGAUUAAGGGACGUACACUCUCCAGCAAGUCAUUUUUUAUGGGCUUGAAAUAAACAAUUUGGUAGAAUGGUAAAAUCGAAUUUGUUAAUUCAGACGCAACCUAUGAAUUUUAUUUGAUAAAUUAUUAUCGGGUGGAUUUAAUGAUGAAAAAAUAGUAAAAAUGGAAAAAGUGUUAAAAUCAGUUGAUAAGUUAUAUACACGUUACUUAUAAAAUAUUUGACGAAUGUUGAUCUAUUUAAAAUGAAAUGUCUGUAGAUUUUAAAUAAUAGUGGAUCGACAUAAGAAUCUUUUAAUUAAAUAGAAAAAGAGAAGCGGAAGGAAAGUCAAUUCUUGGUCGACGUCACACAUCUGUUGGAACUCAUUUGUAAAAUAAAUAUAAAAAAUGUAACGAUUUUCUCCCUCAAUUUGUAAAAUAAAUGAAGCUUUUGAUUCAGAGGUGAUAACGGUCAAUAAUUGACUAUCCGUCUGUUUAUUGAUUUCAUGCGAUUACAAUGAUACGAAAACACGUUGAACAAAGCCCAUUAUUUAAAAAAUCACGGAUGCACAUUACUUAAAGUGAACGCACAUGCGCUCGCACUGUGUUUUAAAGUAAAUUAAAAAAUUUCCUUCAAUUUAAAAAAAAAAUCACUCAGCUUGAUUGCAUAAAACCGUAACAAUGAGUGCUACGCAGAAGAACAAGCGCGAAGAAAAAAUAAACAACAAAAAAAAUGAGAUAGAAAUGUUCGACUUAAAUGAUGAGUGAAAAAAAGAGAAACAUUCAAUGGUGGACCUAUGCGCUUACAUACAUAUACAUUUCCAUAUUUUCUUCGUUGCAUUAUCGGUCUUUGUUUUUUCAUUGUAUUUAACCAUUUUUUUCUCGUUUCACCGUUUUAUUGUCUCAUUUGGUUGUGCUUUGGUAUUCAAAGAAUGAUCAUUGCUAUACAAGUAUAAACUAAUAUACACAACACACAAACGCACACACUCUGCGUUCAUACCAAACAAACAUUCAUAUGAUUCAUGCAGACGGCUUUUUAACAUUCACAUCAUUUGAGCAAAAAUCAAACAUACGAAAAUGGUUAGUUUCACGUUGAUCGUUCAACUGUAUGGAUUGUAUUUAUAGCAAGUAAGCCAGUAUAUUAUGUUUUUUUAAUAGUUCAUUUCUAUAUCGUGUUUCAUCUCCUCUCGUCAAAUGUUUAUUUAAUCCAAGAAGCAAAUCAAUACCGAUUUGGCCUUAGUGUCCAAAUAUUUAAUCAAAUAUACCAAAAAUUCAUUGUAAAAAAACAAGGAAACGAUCAAAGAUUAACGAUCAACACGAAAGAAAAAAAAUUCAUUUCGCACAAAAUUUCAUUUGGAAAAUAUGUGAUUACCAUGUGUUCGCGCUUCUUUUACACAAUCAGCUGAAUAUUCACAACAAAGAGACGAAUCAAACAAAACAACAACGACCACCACGAAAAGAAGAAGAAGAAGAAGAAGAAAAACAAUAAUAAUCCAAUAUUCUCAUACUCUAGUUAAACUACCGGCUGUUACACCUGUUCAUUGUUCGAUUAUUCAAACGCCCCCCAAAUGUGUAUGGGAAUGAAAGACAAUAAAAUCGGUGUUACAUUUACAAUUAAAAAAAUGCUAAUUAUUUAUUCUGUUAUGCGGUGAGAAAAAAAAUCAACAACGAAAAAGAACAUAUAUGAACUGACAACGAAGAAAAAACAUAUAACAUUAAUACCAUAAAGCCAAAAUAAAUAUCGCCAAAAAUCAUUGAAUAAAAUCAGUUAUGUAAUUAUUUAAAUUUGUAUACAUUCCAUUGCAUCAAAAGACAAAAAAAAAACAUAGACAUCAACGCACACCAUCCAACGACAACGAAUACAGUGUGAGAAUUUAAAUAAACUGAAGGGAACAAUAUUGUUUUAUCGAAAUAUAACUAUGAAGCAAAAGGCAUCGAUGGCUUGUCAUUUAGUCAAUGUGAAGAAUUGUGAAAAAUAAUACGAAUAUACAAACGAGAAAAAGAGAGAGAGAGAGAAAUAUCAAAUCAUUUUUCAUCGUUACGUUUGGCAAUCAUUGUACCUGACAUUAAAACAAAAAUCACCAUAAAA
This is an RNA transcript of Contarinia nasturtii (swede midge), 4788 nucleotides long. RefSeq lists it as uncharacterized. NCBI's taxonomy places the organism in Eukaryota, Metazoa, Arthropoda, Insecta, Diptera, Cecidomyiidae. The record is from RefSeq and is a predicted model, not a curated record. The transcript is spliced from 7 exons.